This 190-nucleotide antisense RNA is filed under the name Stanieria cyanosphaera PCC 7437. RNAcentral's name for it is "Antisense RNA which regulates isiA expression". It matches the Rfam family "Antisense RNA which regulates isiA expression". The record is from Rfam by way of RNAcentral. Lineage: Bacteria; Bacillati; Cyanobacteriota; Cyanophyceae; Pleurocapsales; Dermocarpellaceae.
GAUAGCCAAAAAUAGUGAUGGGAUUUACUGUCGGAUCGGUAAUAAUUCUGACUCCUCCGCCAUUAAUCGCCCAGGGGUCAAAUAAUCCACCCCAAAACAUAGCUUUAAAAAAAACUAAUAAAAAUGCGCCUAUACCCAGAAAAAUCAGAUGAAUGCCCAGAAUACUAGUCAUUUUGUCGUCAUCUUUCCA